AAUGAACGCUGGCGGCAUGCCUAACACAUGCAAGUCGAACGAAGCCUUCGGGCUUAGUGGCGCACGGGGUGCGUAACGCGUGGGAAUCUGCCCUUGGGUUCGGAAUAACAGUUAGAAAUGACUGCUAAUACCGAAUGAUGUCGUAAGACCAAAGAUUUAUCGCCCAGGGAUGAGCCCGCGUAGGAUUAGCUAGUUGGUGUGGUAAAGGCGCACCAAGGCGACGAUCCUUAGCUGGUCUGAGAGGAUGAUCAGCCACACUGGGACUGAGACACGGCCCAGACUCCUACGGGAGGCAGCAGUGGGGAAUAUUGGACAAUGGGCGAAAGCCUGAUCCAGCAAUGCCGCGUGAGUGAUGAAGGCCUUAGGGUUGUAAAGCUCUUUUACCCGGGAUGAUAAUGACAGUACCGGGAGAAUAAGCUCCGGCUAACUCCGUGCCAGCAGCCGCGGU
Molecule: ribosomal RNA, 448 nt
Filed under: uncultured bacterium
Lineage: Bacteria
Description: bacterial SSU rRNA
Rfam family: Bacterial small subunit ribosomal RNA
Source: RNAcentral